GACGAACGCUGGCGGCGUGCUUAACACAUGCAAGUCGAACGGAAAGGCCCUGCUUUUGUGGGGUGCUCGAGUGGCGAACGGGUGAGUAACACGUGAGUAACCUGCCCUUGACUUUGUGAUAACUUCAGGAAACUGGGGCUAAUACCGGAUAGGAGCUCCUGCUGCGUGGUGGGGGUUGGAAAGUUUCGGCGGUUGGGGAUAGACUCGCGGGUUAUCAGCUUGUUGGUGGGGUAGUGGCUUACCAAGGCUUUGACGGGUAGCCGGCCUGAGAGGGGUAACGGGCUCAUUGGUCCUAAGAGAGGGCGCAGAAUCGUACGGGAGGCAGCGGGCGGAAACAUGGCAGAAUGGGGGGAAGUGUGAGGCAGAAGCGCCGCGAGCGGGAUACCGGCUUUCUGGUUAUGAACCGCUGUCGCCUGUGACGAAGCGUGAGUGACGGUAAUGAGUAAAGAAGCACCGGCUAACUACGUG
This 468-nucleotide ribosomal RNA is filed under the name uncultured bacterium. RNAcentral's name for it is "partial 16S ribosomal RNA". It matches the Rfam family "Bacterial small subunit ribosomal RNA", at positions 28 to 507 of the family's 1533-position model. The record is from RNAcentral.